GUAUCAGGUGUGGCUUCCAGGGACUGUGCAAAAUUGCUGGAUUAGUGUCCUAUUCACAUAGCAGCAUAUGGAUGGUGCCGAGGUUAUUUAUUUCUUGUAUUAAAUAGUAUUUAUUAAAUAAAUUAAUGUUGGACUACUAGGGGUUCAACUGGUGGGACUGACACCAGUCCUAAGAAGUGAGGUCCUGCGAGUCCCCAAUUCUAGUUAAAAUUUUUAUGCAAGAGAAGCAUGAAGGAAAAUGCAUAACUUACUAAAAUCUUUGACAUGCCACAAAGACAUGCCAUAACUUUUGAUUGAUUGGGGUCUCAAACUUUUACAUGUCUGUGUAACAUGUCAAAAGUUUUUUGGAAUAACAGUGACCCUCGUCAAUAUGUUGCUUUAAAGGCCAGCAGGAUACUAUUAAAAGAAACAGAGAUCCAAGGGAAGGGUACAUAAUCUUAUGAUUUUAUAAAGCAGACUAAUCAGGGUCAGGUCUUAAAAAAUGCAAAGGAAAGCAUCUGCCCUAAUAAUUGGACUUAAGUUAUGAGGUUAAAGGAAACAAAGUUAAAAGACACAUGUAAAGGGGUUAGUUAGCAUAAUAGUUUUUUUUUUUCAAUAAAAGUGCUCAGGCAGUCUCAUAACAUAAAAAAUCCCAUACUUACCUUCCUACCUCCCCCACAGCAUCUAGUAUUACAGCACCAAGUCUCUGCUAAACAUCUCUUUCUGGAGCUGCAGACAAUACCUCACUGACUCCAGCGAGUUGCAAUGUGAUGUGCCAUCUGCAGUUAUGGGGAGGAAAUAUCAGUGGAGACCAGGGCAUCAUGAUACCAGAGGCUACAGGGAGCAGAGGAGGAGCAAAAAUAUUAAAAGGAAGCUUUAAUAUUGAUAGCCUAUCCUUAGGAUCAAUUGGAAAAAUUGGGUAUGUGUAGCCAGCCUUAUCUGCCGAUACCAAGCACUUUACUGAGACCGCACAUCUGGACCCAGGCCGGACUCCACCCCAUGCAAACGGCGACAGUAAUCCUCAUCACGGGACUGCCACUCCCGAGGACACCGGCCGUAUACUACCAGUAAGCGGUGAUCUUUUCAACGGCAUACAGGACAUUGCUGGAUAUCAGUUCAUAGACAGAUGGUACAUUGACUGAAACAGAUCUGAACUGAGGGAAAUGUCUCGAAUUUCAACUCUAGCUUAUAAAAGAGAAAUAUGGAAGUGAAAUAAACAAUAUUUGUCUAUGGCUUACUGUGGUGGCACAUGCUAAGCUUUCGCUCCACUAGUGGCAAAAAACAUGAGACCCCACUAUGUGGCCAGAUCAUUUCCAAGACUAUUCCUCAAAGAUGCCCAGGUGCUACAAGACACAGAGUCGAGAAUCCCUGUGGCAUUAGGAUGUCUCCUGGGAUGUCAGCCACAAUGAAUGUGCAGGUAUUAUCUUAGGUCUGGAGGAGCUUUCUACUGGCUGAGGCACACAAACAGUGACACCGAUUUACUUUGCCACCCCUUCUUUAAUAAAUCACAAAAAUGUGUAUAAGAAAUACAUUUCAUAUAAAAAUUUGAUUUAA
Molecule: long non-coding RNA, 1533 nt
Organism: Hyla sarda
Lineage: Eukaryota; Metazoa; Chordata; Amphibia; Anura; Hylidae
Exons: 5
Source: RefSeq, a predicted model, not a curated record